RNAcentral lists this ribosomal RNA (508 nucleotides) under uncultured bacterium. RNAcentral's name for it is "partial 16S ribosomal RNA". It matches the Rfam family "Bacterial small subunit ribosomal RNA", at positions 28 to 523 of the family's 1533-position model. The record is from RNAcentral.
GAUGAGCGCUAGCUACAGGCUUAACACAUGCAAGUCGAGGGGAAACGAUAUUGGAAGCUUGCUUCCGAUAGGCGUCGACCGGCGCACGGGUGAGUGACGCGUAUCCAACCUGCCCACCACUUGGGGAUAACCUUGCGAAAGUAAGACUAAUACCCAAUGACGUCUCUAGAAGACAUCUGAAAGGGAUUAAAGAUUUAUCGGUGAUGGAUGGGGAUGCGUCUGAUUAGCUUGUUGGCGGGGUAACGGCCCACCAAGGCUACGAUCAGUAGGGGUUCUGAGAGGAAGGUCCCCCACAUUGGAACUGAGACACGGUCCAAACUCCUACGGGAGGCAGCAGUGAGGAAUAUUGGUCAAUGGACGAGAGUCUGAACCAGCCAAGUAGCGUGCAGGAUGACGGCCCUAUGGGUUGUAAACUGCUUUUAUAAGGGAAUAAAGUGAGUCUCGUGAGACUUUUUGCAUGUACCUUAUGAAUAAAGACCGGCUAAUUCCGUGCCAGCCGCCGCGGUAA